UGAAUUCAGACUCAAGAUGGUAACAUCAACUAUUACCUGACUUUUUGCCCUGCCAGCCUCUAAUUUCACCCUGUGGAGGCAGGAAAGAAGGGCCCUGGGUAGACGCAUUGCUACAACUACGAGAAAAAUCUUACUGGAGAAAACCAUGCCAAGCCUGAGAAUGUUGCAUACCCGAGGCCAAGCUCAACAAGGCCAGGGAACUCUCUGGUUGGGGAUCCUGUGGAGAGUCUGACUCUGGAACCGGUGCUACAGACAGACAUUGUUAAAGCUGGUAAGGACAGAUUUUGACUCUGAAGAUUCUGAGUAUACUCCAGAAGCAGACUUAGAGUC
Long non-coding RNA from Hyaena hyaena (striped hyena), 330 nucleotides. RefSeq lists it as uncharacterized. NCBI's taxonomy places the organism in Eukaryota, Metazoa, Chordata, Mammalia, Carnivora, Hyaenidae. The transcript is spliced from 4 exons. The record is from RefSeq and is a predicted model, not a curated record.